RNAcentral lists this ribosomal RNA (582 nucleotides) under Mucor racemosus. Its description in RNAcentral is "eukaryotic LSU rRNA". The stretch from base 182 to 334 matches the Rfam family "5.8S ribosomal RNA". Lineage: Eukaryota; Fungi; Mucoromycota; Mucoromycetes; Mucorales; Mucoraceae. The record is from RNAcentral.
AUUAUCUAUUUACUGUGAACUGUAUUAUUAUUUGACAUUUGAGGGAUGUUCCAAUGUUAUAAGGAUAGACAUUGGAAAUGUUAACCGAGUCAUAAUCAGGUUUAGGCCUGGUAUCCUAUUAUUAUUUACCAAAUGAAUUCAGAAUUAAUAUUGUAACAUAGACCUAAAAAAUCUAUAAAACAACUUUUAACAACGGAUCUCUUGGUUCUCGCAUCGAUGAAGAACGUAGCAAAGUGCGAUAACUAGUGUGAAUUGCAUAUUCAGUGAAUCAUCGAGUCUUUGAACGCAACUUGCGCUCAUUGGUAUUCCAAUGAGCACGCCUGUUUCAGUAUCAAAACAAACCCUCUAUCCAACUUUUGUUGUAUAGGAUUAUUGGGGGCCUCUCGAUCUGUAUAGAUCUUGAAAUCCCUGAAAUUUACUAAGGCCUGAACUUGUUUAAAUGCCUGAACUUUUUUUUAAUAUAAAGGAAAGCUCUUGUAAUUGACUUUGAUGGGGCCUCCCAAAUAAAUCUUUUUUAAAUUUGAUCUGAAAUCAGGCGGGAUUACCCGCUGAACUUAAGCAUAUCAAUAGCCCGGAGGAAAA